This 566-nucleotide long non-coding RNA is filed under the name Homo sapiens (human). RNAcentral's name for it is "HSALNT0405903". The record is from RNAcentral. Lineage: Eukaryota; Metazoa; Chordata; Mammalia; Primates; Hominidae.
UCAAGGAGAUGCCUACCUGGGGACAGAAUCUGGAAAAGACCUCAAAAUAGAUCUUCUCAAGGCACCCGGAGGCAAACGAGGCAUAGACACACUAGGAUAAAAGCUGUCUUCAAGUCAGAGCCCUCCCUAGGGCUCCAGGCAGAGCAAAGGACCAGAUCUCCCCCUCUGCACUCCCCACCUACAGAUGAGCACCCAGGCAGGGGACACUCAAAGCAGGUGAAUGAGACAGGGGGGGCAUGCAGAAGCCUUGAUCUCCGAGUGGUCUGUGGCCGUGAGGUGGAGAGAUACAACUGCUUUGUCGAGGACCCAAGGGAAAACCGAGCCGUGGCUGUCUGAGUCUUAUCAAAGGAAAAACGCUCAGGUCCCCCGCAUGGCAAAGCUGGAGGGCAAGCACACAUUUGAGGUCAUCUGUACCCAUCAGCCUCCCAAGGCACAGGACAGGAAAAAAAGCACACAUAGAUCAGGAGGGAGAGAAGGAAGACAUCCAUUACACUGGAGAAAAACUGUAUGAAUUUGCUCUUAUGGUAUGAUCUAAAAUAUUAAAUUUGAGAAAAAGUAGAAAUCAA